UACGUAGGGGGCUAGCGUUGUCCGGAAUCAUUGGGCGUAAAGCGCGUGUAGGCGGUCCGGUAAGUCCGCUGUGAAAGUCGGGGGCUCAACCCUCGGAUGCCGGUGGAUACUGUCGGGCUUGAGUACGGAAGAGGCGAGUGGAAUUCCUGGUGUAGCGGUGAAAUGCGCAGAUAUCAGGAGGAACACCGGUGGCGAAGGCGGGUCUCUGGGCCGAUAUUGACGCUGAGGUGCGAAAGCGUGGGGAGCAAACAGG
RNAcentral lists this ribosomal RNA (253 nucleotides) under uncultured bacterium. RNAcentral's name for it is "partial 16S ribosomal RNA". It matches the Rfam family "Bacterial small subunit ribosomal RNA", at positions 524 to 776 of the family's 1533-position model. The record is from RNAcentral.